GGAGGGUGCGAGCGUUGUUCGGAAUCAUUGGGCGUAAAGCGCGUGUAGGCGGCUUGGUAAGUCGGGUGUGAAAUCCCGGGGCCCAACCCCGGAACUGCAUUCGAAACUGCCUCGCUAGAGUCCCGGAGAGGAAGGCGGAAUUCCCGGUGUAGAGGUGAAAUUCGUAGAUAUCGGGAGGAACACCAGCGGCGAAGGCGGCCUUCUGGACGGUGACUGACGCUGAGACGCGAAAGCGUGGGGAGCAAACAGGAUUAGAUACCCUGGUAGUCCACGCCGUAAACGUUGGGUGCUAGGUGUCGCGGGUAUUGACCCCUGCGGUGCCGUCGUUAACGCAUUUAGCACCCCGCCUGGGGAGUACGGUCGCAAGGCUA
Molecule: ribosomal RNA, 371 nt
Filed under: uncultured bacterium
Lineage: Bacteria
Description: bacterial SSU rRNA
Rfam family: Bacterial small subunit ribosomal RNA
Source: RNAcentral